Molecule: ribosomal RNA, 433 nt
Filed under: uncultured bacterium
Lineage: Bacteria
Description: partial 16S ribosomal RNA
Rfam family: Bacterial small subunit ribosomal RNA
Source: RNAcentral
AGCGAACGCUGGCGGCAGGCUUAACACAUGCAAGUCGAGCGGGCCCUUCGGGGUCAGCGGCAGACGGGUGAGUAACACGUGGGAACGUACCCUUUGGUUCGGAAUAACGCUGGGAAACUAGCGCUAAUACCGGAUACGCCCUUUUGGGGAAAGGCUUGCUGCCGAAGGAUCGGCCCGCGUCUGAUUAGCUAGUUGGUGGGGUAAUGGCCUACCAAGGCGACGAUCAGUAGCUGGUCUGAGAGGAUGAUCAGCCACACUGGGACUGAGACACGGCCCAGACUCCUACGGGAGGCAGCAGUGGGGAAUAUUGGACAAUGGGCGCAAGCCUGAUCCAGCCAUGCCGCGUGAGGGAUGAAGGCCUUAGGGUUGUAAAGCUCUUUUGUCCGGGACGAUAAUGACGGUACCGGAAGAAUAAGCCCCGGCUAACUUCGUG